RNAcentral lists this ribosomal RNA (253 nucleotides) under uncultured bacterium. RNAcentral's name for it is "partial 16S ribosomal RNA". It matches the Rfam family "Bacterial small subunit ribosomal RNA", at positions 524 to 776 of the family's 1533-position model. The record is from RNAcentral.
UACAGAGGGUGCGAGCGUUGUUCGGAAUCACUGGGCGUAAAGGGCGUGUAGGCGGUCAGGUAAGUGGGAUGUGAAAGCCCUCGGCUCACCCGAGGAUCUGCAUCUCAAACUGCCUGGCUUGAGUAUGGGAGAGGAUGAGGGAAUUCCUGGUGUAGCGGUGAAAUGCGUAGAUAUCAGGAGGAACACCGGUGGCGAAGGCGCUCAUCUGGCCCAAUACUGACGCUGAGGCGCGAAAGCUAGGGGAGCAAACGGG